Molecule: ribosomal RNA, 273 nt
Filed under: uncultured bacterium
Lineage: Bacteria
Description: partial 16S ribosomal RNA
Rfam family: Bacterial small subunit ribosomal RNA
Source: RNAcentral
CCGGGACGCGGCCUAGUGGCGGACGGGUGAGUAACGCGUGGGCAAUCUGCCCCGUACCGGGGGAUAACACCUGGAAACAGGUGCUAACACCGCAUGACAGGCGGGGGCGCAUGCCCCGGCCUUGAAAACUCCGGUGGUACGGGAUGAGCCCGCGUCCGAUUAGCCAGUUGGCGGGGUAACGGCCCACCAAAGCGACGAUCGGUAGCCGGCCUGAGAGGGUGGAUGGCCACAUUGGGACUGAGACACGGCCCAAACUCCUACGGAAGGCAGCAG